AAAGAUAUAAAUAAAUUUCUAAGGUGGUACAGUUUUGAAAUCUGAACAGAGGGAGUGACUUUAAAAAUUCAUUUUGCUUUACAGAUUCAUCCAAAACUUUUGAAAUUUUAACUCUAUAUACUAUUAGGAGUCUUAUAUACCCCAAAAAAACAGUUUUAGAAAAUACUUAGGAAAUUAGGAUAAAUAAGUAAAAUGGUACAGUAGUGCAGUUUAAAACUCAGAACAGGGGAGGGGACUUCAAAAAUUUCUUAUAAAUUAUCUACUGUGUCAAACACUGCCAAAUAUUAUCUCAAAUGUGUUUUCUAAGUUGGGGUUCUGUUCCAAGUUGAUUCACUAAAUUUGAAAGAGGGAAACGUUAGAUUUCAUUACUAAUUCUAAACUAACUCUAGUUUUGUACAGUUUCGGUAAAUAAUUC
Molecule: long non-coding RNA, 415 nt
Filed under: Erythranthe guttata (spotted monkey flower)
Lineage: Eukaryota; Viridiplantae; Streptophyta; Magnoliopsida; Lamiales; Phrymaceae
Description: long non-coding RNA (EGUT_LNC003881)
Source: RNAcentral